This 503-nucleotide ribosomal RNA is filed under the name uncultured bacterium. RNAcentral describes it as "partial 16S ribosomal RNA". It matches the Rfam family "Bacterial small subunit ribosomal RNA", at positions 28 to 523 of the family's 1533-position model. The record is from RNAcentral.
GAUGAACGCUAGCGACAGGCUUAACACAUGCAAGUCGAGGGGCAGCAUAAAAGUAGCAAUACUUUGGUGGCGACCGGCGCACGGGUGAGUAACGCGUAUGCAACCUACCUAUCAGAGGGGAAUAACCCGGCGAAAGUCGGACUAAUACCGCAUAAAACAGGGGCAACGCAUGGUGAUAUUUGUUAAAGAAAUUCGCUGAUAGAUGGGCAUGCGUUCCAUUAGGUAGUUGGUGAGGUAACGGCUCACCAAGCCGACGAUGGAUAGGGGAACUGAGAGGUUGGUCCCCCACACCGGAACUGAGACACGGACCAGACUCCUACGGGAGGCAGCAGUGAGGAAUAUUGGUCAAUGGGCGAGAGCCUGAACCAGCCAAGUCGCGUGAAGGAAGAAGGAUCUAUGGUUCGUAAACUUCUUUUGCAGGGGAAUAAAGUGCGGGACGUGUCCUGUUUUGUAUGUACCCUGAGAAUAAGGAUCGGCUAACUCCGUGCCAGCCGCCGCAGUAA